Molecule: unclassified non-coding RNA, 352 nt
Filed under: soil metagenome
Description: partial contains 5.8S ribosomal RNA, internal transcribed spacer 2, and large subunit ribosomal RNA
Rfam family: 5.8S ribosomal RNA (bases 1-120)
Source: RNAcentral
GAUGAAGAACGCAGCGAAAUGCGAUAAGUAAUGUGAACUGCAGAAUUCAGUGAAUCAUCGAAUCUUUGAACGCACAUUGCGCCCGCCAGUAUUCUGGCGGGCAUGCCUGUUCGAGCGUCAUUACAACCCUCAGGCCCCCGGGCCUGGCGUUGGGGAUCGGCGGAGCCCCCCGUGGGCACACGCCGUCCCCCAAAUACAGUGGCGGUCCCGCCGCAGCUUCCAUCGCGUAGUAGCUAACACCUCGCGACUGGAGAGCGGCGCGGCCACGCCGUAAAACACCCAACUCUUCUGAAGUUGACCUCGAAUCAGGUAGGAAUACCCGCUGAACUUAAGCAUAUCAAUAAGCGGAGGA